GUCACACUAUUUUUGUCUUUGAACAGCUCAUUGACACAAUCGCCUCGGAGAUCGGCGAACUGAAACAGGAGAUGGUGCAGACAGAUGUCAGCCUGGAAAAUGGCCUGGGACCCUCCGAAGCCCACAGGUGACCGAGGCGACUAAGGCGUCAGGCGCGCGAUGGGGUGACAUGAAUCCCGUCGGCCACAAGGACUGUGGUUCCGGUCGCUCCUCAGGUUUGGGAGCUGGGGGUGUGGUGGCCACUCCAGAAGAAGCUCUGUAGGAGGUGGGAGUGGCCUAGGACCUGGUUGUCUGUGCUCACGUUAAUCCGUCUGAAGGCUCUUGAACUUUGCCUCCUCUGCGUUCCUCCUGGCACCAGAACCCGGAAACUUACAGUUCUCCCUGCCAUAUGCACCUGCUCACAGUGAUGGCACCAGUAAGGCAGCAGGGCUCGAGGUCAUGGCCAGAGCAUAAUCACUGCAAAACGGCACAGACGCUUGGUGCCUCGCAGGCCAGAGUCAUGAUCCACUUCCCUCUUUGCUCAGGAAAUGGGCUUGAGAUUGCCUGGCGCAGGGUGAGGGUGAGAUGAACAGAGCUGAUUUUGCUUGCAAGUCAUGAGCCGGGACAGGAGGAGUCCUGCAGACGCAGGUGAAUCAGGUGGCUCUGGUUGUCCAGGCAAGUUUCAAACCAGCCCAACUGGUUCCUUCCUUGGAGGAGAGAGCUGGCUGUCUCAGGGAGGCGCCCUGCAGCUGGAGGUUGGUGCUUCCACACCCGCGUCUCUGGAGAAACCGUGUUCCCCCUCAGCUGUGGAAAUGCUCUGUGCCUUCCGUUUGCGCUCCUCCUGUACAAAACGAUGGGGGUAGACCAGAUGGUCCUCCCCGGGGCAUUCUGUGAUUCCCUUGACUUCAGUGUGAUUGGCUUUGAUGGGUUCAUUUUUCCUCCCUGCAUGAACCGGACAGAUGCGCAGUGAUUUUUGAUUAGAGAUUUUUCUGCCCCGUGUUCGGAGUAGUUCCAAACUUUGUGGAACUUUUAGCCUAAGGAUUUCUCUUUACCCUUAACAUCUCUUUGAACCGGUGACUGUAAGCAUUCCAUGAUAACUCUUUUCCUUCAGAUUAAUGUCACUUAUUCUUGAAACCUAAGCUGGUUAACACUGAGUUUAUGAAUUUUAAAAGGCGUUUACUUGACUUUCGAAAAUGGGAAACAAGGGUUCCUGUUGUGGCUCAGCAGAUUAAGAAUCCAGCUAGUAUCCAUCAGGAUGUGGGUUUGAUCCCUAGCCUUGCUCAGUGGGUUAAGGAUCCGGAGUUGCUGCGAGCUGCGGUGUAUGUUGCAGAUGAGCCUUGGAUCUAGUGUUGCUGUGGCUGUGGCGUAGACUGGCAAAUGCAGCUCCGAUUUGACCACUGGCUUGGGAACUUCCAUGUGCCACAGGUGCGGCCCUUAAAAAAAUAAAAAAAAAAACCAACAGCGACAACA
RNAcentral lists this long non-coding RNA (1449 nucleotides) under Sus scrofa (pig). Its description in RNAcentral is "lncRNA (ENSSSCG00065006593.1)". The record is from RNAcentral. Lineage: Eukaryota; Metazoa; Chordata; Mammalia; Artiodactyla; Suidae.